Molecule: ribosomal RNA, 824 nt
Filed under: uncultured organism
Description: bacterial SSU rRNA
Rfam family: Bacterial small subunit ribosomal RNA
Source: RNAcentral
GGCUUGUAAGUCACGUGGUGAAAUGCGUGUUGGCUUUAACCAUAGAAUUGCCAAUUGAAACUGCAAGUCUUGAGUACAGUUGAGGUGGGCGGAAUGAGUAAUGUACCGGUGAAAUGCAUAGAUAUUACUCAGAACUCCGAUUGCGUAGGCAGCUUGCUAAACUGUAACUGACGCUGAUGCACGAAAGCGUGGGGAGCGAACAGGAUUAGAUACCCUGGUAGUCCACGCUGUAAACGAUGAGCACUGGUUGUUGGCAAUACACCGUCAGCGACUGAGCGAAAGUAUUAAGUGCUCCACCUGGGGAGUACGUCGGCAACGAUGAAACUCAAAGGAAUUGACGGGGGCCCGCACAAGCGGAGGAGCAUGUGGUUUAAUUCGAUGAUACGCGAGGAACCUUACCUGGGCUUAAAUGUAGAGUGCAUUGCUUGGAAACAGGCAUUUUCUUCGGAACUCUUUACAAGGUGCUGCAUGGUUGUCGUCAGCUCGUGCCGUGAGGUGUCGGGUUAAGUCCCAUAACGAGCGCAACCCCUAUUGUUAGUUACCAGCACGUAAUGGUGGGGACUCUAGCAAGACUGCCGGUGUAAACCGUGAGGAAGGUGGGGAUGACGUCAAAUCAGCACGGCCCUUAUGUCCAGGGCUACACACGUGUUACAAUGGCAAGUACAAAGAGCAGCCACCUGGCGACAGGGCGCUAAUCUCAAAAGCUUGCCUCAGUUCGGAUCGAAGUCUGCAACUCGACUUCGUGAAGGUGGAUUCGCUAGUAAUCGCGCAUCAGCCAUGGCGCGGUGAAUACGUUCCCGGGCAUUGUACACACCGCCCGUCAA